This 506-nucleotide ribosomal RNA is filed under the name uncultured bacterium. RNAcentral describes it as "partial 16S ribosomal RNA". It matches the Rfam family "Bacterial small subunit ribosomal RNA", at positions 29 to 523 of the family's 1533-position model. The record is from RNAcentral.
AUUGAACGCUGGCGGCAGGCCUAACACAUGCAAGUCGAACGGCAGCACAGAAGAGCUUGCUCUUUGGGUGGCGAGUGGCGGACGGGUGAGUAAUGUCUGGGAAACUGCCCGAUGGAGGGGGAUAACUACUGGAAACAGUAGCUAAUACCGCAUAACGUCGCGAGACCAAAGUGGGGGACCUUCGGGCCUCACACCAUCGGAUGUGCCCAGAUGGGAUUAGCUAGUAGGUGGGGUAAUGGCUCACCUAGGCGACGAUCCCUAGCUGGUCUGAGAGGAGGACCAGCCACACGGGAACUGAGACACGGUCCAGACUCCUACGGGAGGCAGCAGUGGGGAAUAUUGCACAAUGGGCGCAAGCCUGAUGCAGCCAUGCCGCGUGUAUGAAGAAGGCCUUCGGGUUGUAAAGUACUUUCAGCGGGGAGGAAGGCGGUGAGGUUAAUAACCUCGCCGAUUGACGUUACCCGCAGAAGAAGCACCGGCUAACUCCGUGCCAGCCGCCGCCGUAA